Molecule: unclassified non-coding RNA, 329 nt
Filed under: soil metagenome
Description: partial contains 5.8S ribosomal RNA, internal transcribed spacer 2, and large subunit ribosomal RNA
Rfam family: 5.8S ribosomal RNA (bases 1-119)
Source: RNAcentral
GAUGAAGAACGUAGCGAAAUGCGAUACGUAAUGUGAAUUGCAAAUUCAGUGAAUCAUCGAGUCUUUGAACGCACAUUGCGCCCCCUGGUAUUCCGGGGGGCAUGCCUGUCCGAGCGUCAUUUCAACCCUCAAGCACAGCUUGGUCUUGGGCUUCGCCGCUAACCCGGCGGGUCUUAAAAUCAGUGGCGGUGCCGUCGGGCCCUGAGCGCAGUAAUCUCUCUCGCUAUAGGGUCCCGGCGGAUGCUGGCCAGUAACCCCCAAUUUUCUAUGGUUGACCUCGGAUCAGGUAGGGAUACCCGCUGAACUUAAGCAUAUCAAUAAGCGGAGGA